GCCGGUGUGUUGGAAUUGGCAGACGAGACAGACUCAAACUCUGUUGUCCAUCUGGGCGUGUGGGUUCGAGUCCCACCACCGGCACCA
This 87-nucleotide transfer RNA is filed under the name Anaerococcus octavius. Its description in RNAcentral is "tRNA-Leu". It matches the Rfam family "tRNA". Rfam says of the family: Transfer RNA (tRNA) molecules are approximately 80 nucleotides in length. Their secondary structure includes four short double-helical elements and three loops (D, anti-codon, and T loops). The record is from RNAcentral. Lineage: Bacteria; Bacillati; Bacillota; Tissierellia; Tissierellales; Peptoniphilaceae. RNAcentral also lists the same sequence under 3 other names.